Molecule: ribosomal RNA, 497 nt
Filed under: uncultured bacterium
Lineage: Bacteria
Description: partial 16S ribosomal RNA
Rfam family: Bacterial small subunit ribosomal RNA
Source: RNAcentral
GAUGAACGCUGGCGGCGUGCCUAAUACAUGCAAGUCGAGCGAACGGACGAGAAGCUUGCUUUUCUGAUGUUAGCGGCGGACGGGUGGGUAACACGUGGAUAACCUACCUAUAAGACUGGGAUAACUUCGGGAAACCGGAGCUAAUACCGGAUAAUAUUUUGAACCGCAUGGUUCAAAAGUGAAAGACGGUCUUGCUGUCACUUAUAGAUGGAUCCGCGCUGCAUUAGCUAGUUGGUAAGGUAACGGCUUACCAAGGCAACGAUGCAUAGCCGACCUGAGAGGGUGAUCGGCCACACUGGAACUGAGACACGGUCCAGACUCCUACGGGAGGCAGCAGUAGGGAAUCUUCCGCAAUGGGCGAAAGCCUGACGGAGCAACGCCGCGUGAGUGAUGAAGGUCUUCGGAUCGUAAAACUCUGUUAUUAGGGAAGAACAUAUGUGUAAGUAACUGUGCACAUCUUGACGGUACCUAAUCAGAAGGCCACGGCUAACUACGUG